Molecule: non-coding RNA, 75 nt
Filed under: Stygamoeba regulata
Lineage: Eukaryota; Discosea; Stygamoebida
Source: RNAcentral
AAAAGAACGAAGAGAGAAACCCGCAAGUUCACGUGUCCUUUUUUUUUUUUUUUUUUUCUACAAAAAAAAAAAAAA